GGGGGUUUAGCUCAGUUGGUAGAGCAAGUGACUCUUAAUCACUGGGUCGUGGGUUCGAGUCCCUCAACCCCUACCA
Molecule: transfer RNA, 76 nt
Filed under: Kiritimatiellia bacterium
Lineage: Bacteria; Pseudomonadati; Kiritimatiellota; Kiritimatiellia
Description: Kiritimatiellae bacterium (gut metagenome) tRNA-Lys
Rfam family: tRNA
About the family: Transfer RNA (tRNA) molecules are approximately 80 nucleotides in length.
Source: RNAcentral